CAGUAGCCGCGGUGAUACGUAGGGGGCAAGCGUUGUCCGGAAUUAUUGGGCGUAAAGCGCGCGCAGGCGGUCAUUUAAGUCUGGUGUUUAAUCCCGGGGCUCAACCCCGGAUCGCACUGGAAACUGGGUGACUUGAGUGCAGAAGAGGAGAGUGGAAUUCCACGUGUAGCGGUGAAAUGCGUAGAUAUGUGGAGGAACACCAGUGGCGAAGGCGACUCUCUGGGCUGUAACUGACGCUGAGGCGCGAAAGCGUGGGGAGCAAACAGGAUUAGAUACCCCGGUAGUCCCUGUCUCUUAUACA
RNAcentral lists this ribosomal RNA (301 nucleotides) under uncultured bacterium. RNAcentral's name for it is "partial 16S ribosomal RNA". It matches the Rfam family "Bacterial small subunit ribosomal RNA", at positions 509 to 808 of the family's 1533-position model. The record is from RNAcentral.